CAGGGGUGAGUGUGGCAGUGACAUCACAAGGGCCUUUUGCAGCACCUCAGCUGAUUGGUCAAAGGAGGUUGGGAGGCGGUGAUCUCACAGAGAGUCCAUGACAACGGCCAGGUAGGACAGGCUGCAGGGCUGGGACGAUGUCAGAGACCCCCGUGGCUUUGCUGCAGAGAGUCUCCUUCUUUAGGUCUCUCCCUGAGGACUGAGAGAGAAUUCUGGGUCAUGUCUGUGAGCACGAGGAGGAGACUCGUUGGAGUUUUCCCCGUUCCCACUGCUAAUUUAGUGAGAAGACAGACAUCCCUGUGGAGAAGGAAUUUCUCUCUAACCACACAAGAGCUGGUUAUUAUUUCCUUGGACUGACAUACUCAAAGCCUGAGGGCAGAUGAAAGUGGAUCAGCAAUGAAGAACUGAACAGUGAUGUGUAGCUUCAUUCUUUUCUAACUCUAUUUGAUAUACAAAAGAAUCUCCAUGACUAUGCCUGCGCUGUUAUUGGCUUUAAUAAGGUGGUGACUGCAGUUUGUUCUGAAUCCUCA
Molecule: long non-coding RNA, 530 nt
Organism: Mauremys mutica (yellowpond turtle)
Lineage: Eukaryota; Metazoa; Chordata; Testudines; Geoemydidae
Exons: 3
Source: RefSeq, a predicted model, not a curated record